UACGUAGGGUGCGAGCGUUAAUCGGAAUUACUGGGCGUAAAGCGUGCGCAGGCGGUUCGUUGUGUCGGUGGUGAAAUCCCCGGGCUUAACCUGGGAAUGGCCAUGGAAACUGGCGAACUGGAGUGCGGCAGAGGGGGGUGGAAUUCCGCGUGUAGCAGUGAAAUGCGCAGAGAUGUGGAGGAAUACCGAUGGCGAAGGCAGCCCCCUGGGCCAAUACUGACGCUCAUGCACGAAAGCGUGGGGAGCAAACAGG
RNAcentral lists this ribosomal RNA (253 nucleotides) under uncultured bacterium. RNAcentral's name for it is "partial 16S ribosomal RNA". It matches the Rfam family "Bacterial small subunit ribosomal RNA", at positions 524 to 776 of the family's 1533-position model. The record is from RNAcentral.